UGCAAGUUCGAGCGGUAGAGAGAAGCUUGCUUCUCUUGAGAGCGGCGGACGGGUGAGUAAUGCCUAGGAAUCUGCCUGGUAGUGGGGGAUAACGUUCGGAAACGGACGCUAAUACCGCAUACGUCCUACGGGAGAAAGCAGGGGACCUUCGGGCCUUGCGCUAUCAGAUGAGCCUAGGUCGGAUUAGCUAGUUGGUGAGGUAAUGGCUCACCAAGGCGACGAUCCGUAACUGGUCUGAGAGGAUGAUCAGUCACACUGGAACUGAGACACGGUCCAGACUCCUACGGGAGGCAGCAGUGGGGAAUAUUGGACAAUGGGCGAAAGCCUGAUCCAGCCAUGCCGCGUGUGUGAAGAAGGCCUUCGGGUCGUAAAGUUCUGUUGUUAGGGAAGAACAAGUACCAGAGUAACUGCUGGUACCUUGACGGUACCUAACCAGAAAGCCACGGCUAACUACGUGCCAGCAGCCGCGGUAAU
This 474-nucleotide ribosomal RNA is filed under the name uncultured bacterium. Its description in RNAcentral is "bacterial SSU rRNA". It matches the Rfam family "Bacterial small subunit ribosomal RNA", at positions 56 to 524 of the family's 1533-position model. The record is from RNAcentral.